UACGUAGGGCGCAAGCGUUGUCCGGAUUUAUUGGGCGUAAAGAGCUCGUAGGUGGCUUGUCGCGUCUGCCGUGAAAGCCCAUGGCUUAACUGUGGGUCUGCGGUGGAUACGGGCUGGCUUGAGGCAGGUAGGGGAGAAUGGAAUUCCCGGUGUAGCGGUGAAAUGCGCAGAUAUCGGGAGGAACACCGGUGGCGAAGGCGGUUCUCUGGGCCUGUCCUGACGCUGAGGAGCGAAAGCGUGGGGAGCGAACAGGAUUAGAUACCCUGGUAGUCCACGCUGUAAACGUUGGGCGCUAGGUGUGGGGCUCUUAUUGGGGUUCCGUGCCGUAGCUAACGCAUUAAGCGCCCCGCCUGGGGAGUACGGCCGCAAGGCUAAA
RNAcentral lists this ribosomal RNA (376 nucleotides) under uncultured bacterium. Its description in RNAcentral is "bacterial SSU rRNA". It matches the Rfam family "Bacterial small subunit ribosomal RNA", at positions 524 to 898 of the family's 1533-position model. The record is from RNAcentral.